AUUCUUUUGUAGCUGAUAAGCAUGAUGACUGGAGCUUCGCGUGCAUGUGUGAGACAUACCUCCCUCCAACCUUGUUACACAUCUGCACAUUACCUGCCUGAUG
Molecule: small nucleolar RNA, 103 nt
Organism: Pan troglodytes (chimpanzee)
Lineage: Eukaryota; Metazoa; Chordata; Mammalia; Primates; Hominidae
Rfam family: Small nucleolar RNA U13
Source: Rfam